GAUCAACGUUGAUGCGAUGAACUGAUUACCCCAGAUCGUCACCACGGGUGUCAGGGAGCGAAUGGUGAAACCAGCAACAGUCAUG
This 85-nucleotide non-coding RNA is filed under the name unclassified sequences. RNAcentral describes it as "c-di-GMP-II-AAA riboswitch". It matches the Rfam family "Cyclic di-GMP-II riboswitch aptamer". The record is from RNAcentral.